UACAGAGGGGGCAAGCGUUGUUCGGAAUUACUGGGCGUAAAGGGCGCGUAGGCGGCCUUCUAAGUCGAACGUGAAAUCCCUGGGCUCAACCCAGGAACUGCGUCCGAUACUGGAAGGCUUGAAUCCGGGAGAGGGAUGCGGAAUUCCAGGUGUAGCGGUGAGAUGCGUAGAUAUCUGGAGGAACACCGGUGGCGAAGGCGGCAUCCUGGACCGGUAUUGACGCUGAGGUGCGAAAGCGUGGGGAGCAAACAGG
RNAcentral lists this ribosomal RNA (253 nucleotides) under uncultured bacterium. RNAcentral's name for it is "partial 16S ribosomal RNA". It matches the Rfam family "Bacterial small subunit ribosomal RNA", at positions 524 to 776 of the family's 1533-position model. The record is from RNAcentral.